RNAcentral lists this long non-coding RNA (518 nucleotides) under Microcebus murinus (gray mouse lemur). RNAcentral describes it as "lncRNA (ENSMICG00000048262.1)". Lineage: Eukaryota; Metazoa; Chordata; Mammalia; Primates; Cheirogaleidae. The record is from RNAcentral.
UGCCCUUGGGUGUGGUUAAAUAUUAAUAUCAGAAGUUUCACAUAUGUCUUAUUCUCUUUCAUAACUUUCCCCCUUCUUCUUUUCCAGGAUAACACAUACCGUGCUGGCCACUUUCAAAUGUCACUUCUGCAAGAAGCCUUCCUUGAUCCCCCACAUAAUUUCACUCAGACUGUCUCCUUUUCUGGUUUGAUGAAACAAGCAGCCAUGGUUCAUGUGGCAAGGGCCACAGCCCAACAUCCCUGGAGGAAAUCAAUUUCACAAACAACCACUGAGUUUGGAGGUAGAUCCUUCCCCCAUGGAAUCUAGACUGUGAGAGAACCUGAAGCAGAGGACCCAUUUCAGCCAGCCCGGAUUCCCAACCCACAGAAACUGAGGUAAUAAAUGUGUGUCACUUUAAGCCACUGAGUUUUAGAAUAAUUUGUUAUGCAGCAGUAGAUAACUAAUCCAGAUGGUGUCAAACAGAAAGUAGGUGGAUGGUAAGGGUAGGUGGUAUUUUAGAAAGAGUUCUGGGAGUGGGG